RNAcentral lists this long non-coding RNA (244 nucleotides) under Capsicum annuum. RNAcentral's name for it is "long non-coding RNA (CANN_LNC006843)". The record is from RNAcentral. Lineage: Eukaryota; Viridiplantae; Streptophyta; Magnoliopsida; Solanales; Solanaceae.
UACUAUUCCUCCCAAGAACUUGCAUCAAAUAUUGUGUCCACCAAGUGCUACAACCAAGUCAAUCUUUACUCUUAAAGUCGAGAAAAAGAUGUACCUAGUCGUUCCUCACUCCACCAAGUUCCACAAGGAGGACUUGGAACCAAAAUUCCAUCCCUAAAACCGAAUCCUCUACUCCAAAAUCCUCUAAUUCAAAGACUACACUCUACUAAAUCCAAUGUCUCCUUUCCAAACUACACUAACCCGG